This 2651-nucleotide long non-coding RNA is filed under the name Helianthus annuus (common sunflower). The record is from RNAcentral. Lineage: Eukaryota; Viridiplantae; Streptophyta; Magnoliopsida; Asterales; Asteraceae.
AUGAGCGCUAAAACGAGAGAUGCUUAUGUCCCUUUCUACACACGUUUCUCAUUCAUUCAAGCGUUACUUUUCCUCUUUCCUUUCUAUCAAAUCGGGGUUUCCUUUUCUUCCCUCUUCAUCUCCUUAAUAUCGUUAUAAUCAGAGUUUCUUUUCUUCCUCCUUCAUCAUCCUAUGUAAACCCUAAAGGAAUUCACAGCAGUUCUUCAAGGAUUAUUACCGAUUUAUUCUAAUGGAAUGAUGGAUCUUUCAAAUGUGGGUUGUUCUACAAGCAACAGAGUCCCAAUGAUGGUGAAUGCAACGAUGCUGAAGAUAGUCUCAAUCAGAUUUCAAUUGAGAGCAACUGAGCAGAAGGAUGUGAAGGUUGUUAUACUGACUCAAUGAUGAUGGUGGUCAUGGUUGUGGGAAUCACUUAAUCCUAUCAUUGAAUCUGGAUCACUUAAAGUUAUUAACGUGGAUCAGCUCUGAACUUCGUUGAUCUAGAAUUUAAGAAGAUGGCGAUCAAAAUAUGCGAUCCAGUCGUCUGUACCUAGCGAAGGUGUGUACGAUUAAGUGGGGCCUGGCGUCAUUGUGAGUUUAAAGUUCUUCAUUUUGGUUAAUUUAGUGAUCUUCGUCUGCCAUCUCAAGCAUUCUAUCAGUUUUCUCCUAUCCCUCAUCCUCUGUCCAGAGGAAAAAAAGACAGAUAAUGGUUGACGAUUCUUCGUUGAGGAAACCAAACAGCGAUGGAGAUGAAGACCACAGGCCAAACGCGACCGGAAGAGAAAAAACCAUACUGAUGACGUUACUGGUAGACUUUCCACUUCAUUAAAGCAUCUCCCAAACGCUUUAAUGUUGUAUUCAACAUCGGAGGAAUAGGAGAUGAAAAUGCUUCUACAAGGGUGUUGCGUAUGUGCGAAACCUUCUUUGAAGACAACGAGAUCGUUGGAGAACGAAAAGUUAGUUGUUGUACCAAACUCAUCGGACAAGUUCAAAGUUUUCGAGAGGUUAUGUCGGUUCUUUACAAAUCGACUUCAGGGAAUACCACCGCCUUUGACAAACUAUUAGACCACAUGUUUGUUUGCAACAGGGAGGAAUUUGUAUGCAAAUAGAAAUCCAAAUUGAAAGCAUAGCGUUCUUGAUAGUCACUGACCAUGCAGCGUUCUUGAUAGUCAAUGACCAAAUGGAAUCCUAGGAAACUAAUAACAGCUGAUCUAAGUUUUCGAGUUUGUAAGAUCUAAGUUUUCAGCCGCUUCAGCCAGGUAUGCAACUUGGAUUUUGUUUCUCAUGAGAACUGAUGCACAUUGUGAUGCGGGUAUUUUGAAUGGUGGAGAUCUUUUCUCUUUGCUGAGAAAUUUAAGUUGUUUGAAAGAAAAUGUGACACAACCUUAUAUUGCAUAAUCCGUCAGUUAUAACGUCGUCGUCCUUCUAGAUUACUUUCAUAUGGGUAUGCUCUUAUGAAUUAAGAGUUAAAUCGUUAUCUACAUAUUCAUCUUUUGAUUCCUAAUCCUCAAAACAAAUUGUUGUAGUUACUUCUUUUUUUUUUUAAUUUAUAUAUACUUCGAUUUCUGAAUCAUUGUCGCGCAAUCAUCUACCUAAGCUGAAUUUCCUAUUUUAUAUGGUAUGUUUCUGAGCUAAAAGCACACUUACAUGAGAAGUCCUUUGAUCUUGAGUUUUGGUCUAUGAUGGUGAGCAUGGGCUUAUCUGAGAGGUUUUAUGAAGUUGUAUUCUGGUUCCGAUUAUUAUAAGCCCUAAUGUUGUAAGCUCAAUGAUGGUGAGCCAAGGAUCGGCUGAAGGCUUCUUGAAUGUGGUUCAAGGAUGGUAGUUCAUUACUUGCAACCUUCCCUUCAACCAUGGUGGUAUUGUUGUUUUCUAGACUCUGAGCCUAUCAUAAGCAUAUUUGCCUCGACUAAAGUUUUCGUUUUAACUAUCCGAUGGUGCUUGGCUUUGUUUUGGUUUAAACUAAUAGAACAAACAAGAAAGUAGCGGGGGUUGAGAAGCUUCCGUUGUCUGUUGAGAUCAAACUCUCUCGAUCCAAUCAAACCUAUCGCCCCAAUCUAACAUGCGAAUGCACAACCUACACCUUACAGAUUUCAGCAACUUAAUUAACUCUUCUGUCAAUAGCCACUUCGGGAAAACUUCAUCACCAGAUUACUUUCUUCCAUUUCUGACCUUGGAAUCCAUAUAACCAUCAACAAUUCUAUAAAUCUGCAGGUUCGUGGAGGUUCAGUUGGAUUCAUUGAAUCGAUUUACGGUGUUUUGAAGCAUAUUCGAAUAGUGUGUACUGUUGCACAACAAAUAUGGGCUUUCAUAGAAACCAGGUGCAAGCUAAGCCGAUUUUAUAUUCUUGAGCUUAAAUAUUUGGUUGAUAUACAAAAUAAAUGCCACGGGUCAAGGAAAUGGAGACGCGCAAUAUUAUCGGUCAUGCAGACAGCCCUAUGAAAUUAAAACGUAUGGCUUCCUAUGGGUUAAAAACAGGGCAAAAUGCAAUGCGUUGUCGUGGGAAGAUUGAUGUAAUUUCGAGUUACACUCUAUGGGGGUGUGAUGUAAUGUUUUUAUUUGGUAAACUAUGUAAUAUCUCCGGGUUAACAUUUUUGUUGACCGGUUAAUUUGAAUAAAAUAUUUUGUUGGCCGUUAAAAAAAUAUAUUUUAGUAGUAAUGAAGGUGGGUUAACUAGA